RNAcentral lists this ribosomal RNA (253 nucleotides) under uncultured bacterium. RNAcentral describes it as "partial 16S ribosomal RNA". It matches the Rfam family "Bacterial small subunit ribosomal RNA", at positions 524 to 776 of the family's 1533-position model. The record is from RNAcentral.
UACGUAGGGCGCAAGCGUUAUCCGGAAUUAUUGGGCGUAAAGAGCUCGUAGGCGGUUUGUCGCGUCUGCCGUGAAAGUCCGGGGCUCAACUCCGGAUCUGCGGUGGGUACGGGCAGACUAGAGUGUGGUAGGGGAGACUGGAAUUCCUGGUGUAGCGGUGAAAUGCGCAGAUAUCAGGAGGAACACCGGUGGCGAAGGCGGGUCUCUGGGCCGAUACUGACGCUGAGGAGCGAAAGCCAGGGGAGCAAACGGG